Chelonia mydas (Green sea turtle) is the source of this 1998-nucleotide long non-coding RNA. RefSeq lists it as uncharacterized. The transcript is spliced from 2 exons. Lineage: Eukaryota; Metazoa; Chordata; Testudines; Cheloniidae. The record is from RefSeq and is a predicted model, not a curated record.
CUCACCUGUACAGGAACAGGCAGGGCCUGUAUUUGGCUAGUUGGUAGUUGGCUGUAGGGGGGGGGGCUGCUGGGAAAGGAUGUAGGGAAGUAGGUUGCAGUCAUUCCAGGAGUGGAGGAAGUUGGAGGCUGGCAAACCCAAAGAGGUGGGAAGCAAGAUAGGAAGCAGCCCAGGGAAAGAGCAGCAAGAGGUAGGACUGUACGGGGACUGUGGCUGCUUGUUAUAGGGUUCCUGGCCUGGAAUCCAGUGUUGGGGGCAUGCCUGGGCUCCCCUACCAGCCACUGGGGAAUGGCAAGGGCAGCAGGGCUGGAAAGACUGUGGAUUCCCCAGAAUGGGAGAACUUUAGUGACCUGGCUGGAGGGCCAAGCCACAAAGAGGAAGCUGCAGAUCUGGGAGUGAGCAAGCCAGCAGAGUGAGACAAGAUUGGUGAAGACAAUACUGGAAGAGUGUGCAAACUGGAAGAGCUAAUCCCAGGACAGCCAGCAGGAGGCACUGCUUGUGAGAGGCAGACUGAGGCAAAGGUAGAUUGUGUGACAUGCUCAAACUCACAGAAGGAGUCAGAGUUGCAGCUGAAAUUAAAACUCUCAACUUCUUGGUUCACAGCCCUGUGCACAGGUCCCCUGACCACAGCUCUCUCCCAAGCCCUGAGCCCUGUGUAAGAUCAGCAUUGGCUGAGAUAGAUCAUCAAUACUUACUGAAGGUGGCUUUUGUUGAAAAUACCAAGAAAACAUUCUCGCAUGGCCCUUUGGUACUUUGGGUUUCCACCAAAGGCAGAAAAUGCAAAUGGGAAGGAAAUGUUAAGCCAAAGUUUUUGUUGGCUCUUUUAAAAACCAGUUUUCCACUCCUCAGAAAGAGUGAAAUAUCCCCAGCAGGCUGAGAAACGUUGGAAAAUCAAGCAUUGGCUAGAUGCAGUAGGAGGCCCCCAAACAUUUUUCCAAGAACGUUGUUGUGCACUGUUUUGGGAUCCAAAUAGCAGUGGUCAAUGGAGAAGGAUUCUAGCAAUAAGGAGCAAGAUGGAAAAAGGAACUUGGAUGCUGGCAGUCUGAACUGGAACAGUACAGAGUGUCCUAUAACUGGAUUGCUCUGGGGUUGCUAAUUGGAUACAUAAUCUCACAGCUAUAACAGGUUACUGCUUCAAAUGCAGGUCAGACUGGGAAUGACCAAAAUUCAUCACCAACUGAGGACCAUUCAGUGGUCUAUGUGAAAUGUAUGGGUGGUCUCAGUACAAUUUCUAGUGGACACGUAUCCUCAUUACAGCUGGCACCUUUGUUGUCAGUCCGUGCUGAAGAUGGAAUUACCUUCAUACGGAUAGGGCUGUCCUCUCCAGGUUGAGAUCUAUUGACAGGGCAGAGUGGGCAAACUGGCACUGCCUCUGUCUGGCCAGUACAUGUUUUGGGCCCAAUUCUACAACCCUUACUUGUACUGAGCAGUACUUCCGUGAACAGCCCCACCAAAUGUAAGGGGCUGAUCAGCAUGGGCAAGGGUUGCAGAAACAGGCCCUUUUGCCCAGAUCCUCAAAGGUAUUUGAGCACUUAACGGCCAUUGAUCUCAAUGGCCGUUAGGUGCCUUGAAGAUGUGGGCCUUUGUGAAUAACUCAGUUUCCCAGGGCACCAGUCUGGCCCCCGACAGUAGCACUGAACUCAGCUUAAAUAAGUGAAAGAGUUCCACCAAGUAACAAAGAGCAAACCUCAGUACAACAAUAGACCCAGGCAAUACCUUUGUUUCCUUGAGUGCAAUUUCAGGAGCUGAUGGUAUAAUUUUAAAAUCAUAGAGUUACAGAGGGGGAAAGGUUUCUUAACAAAGAAGCUUUUUUUAUUUAGUUGAUACAAAAAGGAUAUUUAAUUUCAAAAUAUGCAUUCCCUCCCAGAUAUUCCUUUAUAGCUGUGGUCCUUUCUGGUUUUUCAGAGGGUUAUCCUGACAAUUGCAUCUCUAACAAAGGGCAAAUUUUAGGGUAUAAUUUUAUCUGGGAGUCUCUCUCUUCCUCAUUCCUUAGGGGCA